Non-coding RNA from Macaca mulatta (Rhesus monkey), 2275 nucleotides. Lineage: Eukaryota; Metazoa; Chordata; Mammalia; Primates; Cercopithecidae. The record is from RefSeq and is a predicted model, not a curated record.
AAGGAUCAAUAACAAGGGUGACACUAAUCCAAGGCUGGACAGGCAGUUGCUGGACAGAUGCCUUCAAAGGAGUAAUUUUUGUGUAAGGUUGCAAUGGCCUUUGUGCAAGGUUGCAAGUUUUGCAGUUUUUUAUGAUAGUUUUUGUUAUCAGGUAUUUAUGCAUGAGUACUCUCUCUUCAUAGCUUUUCCUGGCUCAAUUUAUCAGGCUUUUUUGUUUUGUUUUGUUUUGCUUUUUAUAAACAUAAGUGACUCCAUUUUGAUUCUGACAACUUUAACAUUGACAACCAUGAAAGAUUUCUGACUGCAGUGACUGUCAUUGACUGUUGGCCUCAGCUGGUAUAUUCUGAAAUCUAUUACUGUGUUUCCACCAAAACCAUGCUUCCCAUGAACUGCUCCUAGCCAAUGAUUGAGCAUGGCAGGGAUCCUAGGAAGGCCCAUUCUUGGAAUAUGUGGGAUUCCCCUGAUGGCUCAAGGACUUCUUAUCUGCCUUGCUGAACUUCCUUAGAACUGCACUGCAAUCCAAGUCUUCUCCACUCAACUUUGCUUCCCUUUCUUUUUCAAAAGGAUUAUACCAGCAUCAUGGUCUCUUGGCUCUUCCAGCCUUCCAUGAGUUCCUGCCUAUCAGGCAUCUGCUUCUCAGAGGACUGAGACACAUUUCUGUUACUCCAAGAACAAUUCUGUUACCAAGGACCAGUGUUGUGGUCCUUGGACCAGCAGCACUGGCCUCAUUAGAAAUGCAGAAUGUCAAGCCCCACCCCAAACCUCUUGAAUCAGAAUCUCAUUUUAACAAGAUGAUUCAUAUAUGCAUUAUAAUUUGAGAAGCACUGAUUUAGAUGAUUUGGAUUUUUCAGCAAAUCCUUUAAAUCUCAGUUUGGAAACUAAGUCCUUGCCAAGGUAAAUAUUUGGAAUCACAAAGUAACAGAUCAUCUGUGUCCUGCAUUUUUGUAAGUCAACGCCCAGCAAAGUUAAGGGACUGGUUCAAGGUCAUAGAUGAGAUUAGAAGACAGCCAGCACUAGAAGCCAGGUCUCUUGCCACCCAGCACGGCUCUGCUGUGAGCAGGCUAUUUGCUGUAAAUAUGUAUUGUUUAGUGUGGUAGCAGUGGAAAUAAGGCUAGUUGUGGUAGAGUACAAAAUAUAUUUGUUCUUUGUUCUGGGUUCCUGGCACACAGUGUCUAAAACCCUAGAAAUUUCUGAAGUGAUAGUUUCUUUUAAAAGUUCCUAACACACCCCACCCUUUAGGAGUAUCUUUUGUUAUUCAUAACUGCCCUUCGCAACACCUGAGUUUAUGCUAACAAGGUGAUUCAGGUGGGGUCCCUAGCUAGGUUAAGGAUGCGUGCUGGUCGUCUGAAAGGCCAGACUAGUGAAUAGAAGGUGGGAACUUUCAGCCACCCCCAACCUCGGGGGAGGGAGGGUAACUGGAGACUGGGUUGUAAAACCUCUUGAAUAAUGAGAUAAGGAGUGCCUCUGGGUUGGUGAACACAUCAGAUGCUGGGCAGGUGGUGUGCUGCCUCCCUCCAUACCGUGCAUCUCUUUCCUGUGGCUGAUCCUGAGGUUUAUCGCUUAGAAAUAAGCUGGUAAAUGCAUGGUAUAAGCAGGGCUAAGUGGAAAAACUGUAUCUUUCAUGUUAAAGAAGUCCAGAAGACUGGUAAGAAUACCCCUGGGGAAAGACUGCUGCUUUCUGCUGGGAUUACCACAUCUGUGAGGCUUGGAAUGAUCAGUAGCCAUCUUUUGUGCCAUGUUGGGACUGACAUAACACAGAGAGAGGGCAAAGCAGAGCCGGGAAACGGAUAGAAGAUACUGUGUGAGAAGCUAGCAUACCCUUGACUGUCCUAGUUUAUGUGAGUAAAUUCCUUUUUGCUUCAGCUAGCAUAAGCUGGAUUUCUGAUGUUUGCCACUGACAAAGUGCUGGCUAACACAUAUUCCCUCAAACGUUCUGGCAGACAGGAGAUAAGAGCCAUCAGGACUCAACUACAAAUAACUACAACCUCUUGGCAUUAUUUUUAGUUGUAAUUUUUUUUUUCUUUUCAAAGAGACAUCUAAAACAUUACAAAAGUUAAAGCAAAUCCAUUUCAAGUUUAUAAAAGACUGUACUGCACAGGCCUAGCUUAUUGAGGGGCCUGUGGUUUAGCCUCAGGUGGUGUGGGGAAGUCUUCAGCACACCGAGCAGGAUUCAGCAUGUCACCUGUUUUCCUCAUUCUUGGACGUAUACUGGCUAUAGAGCGUGGCUGCUCUUCGCUCCACUCCAUUGGAUGGGGAGAUGCUGGAAUUCUGUUCC